CAAAUACUCCCUCCGUCCCAAAAUUCUUGUCUUAGAUUUGUCUAGAUACGAAUGUAUCUAGUCACGUUUUAGUAUUUUGAUACAUCCAUUUGUAAACAAACAUAAGACAAGAAUUUUGGGACGAAGGGAGUAGUAG
Molecule: microRNA precursor, 136 nt
Filed under: Hordeum vulgare
Lineage: Eukaryota; Viridiplantae; Streptophyta; Magnoliopsida; Poales; Poaceae
Description: microRNA MIR1122
Rfam family: MIR1120/MIR1122 microRNA precursor family
Source: RNAcentral